Molecule: ribosomal RNA, 451 nt
Filed under: uncultured bacterium
Lineage: Bacteria
Description: bacterial SSU rRNA
Rfam family: Bacterial small subunit ribosomal RNA
Source: RNAcentral
GAGCGGUAACAGGUGUAGCAAUACAUGCUGACGAGCGGCGAACGGGUGAGUAACGCUUCGGAAUCUGCCCAAUGGUGGGGAAUAACCAGCCGAAAGGUUGGCUAAUACCGCAUGAGCCCUACGGGGGAAAGCGGGGGAUCGUAAGACCUCGCGCCGAUGGAUGAGCCGAAGCCGGAUUAGCUAGUUGGUAGGGUAACGGCCUACCAAGGCGACGAUCCGUAGCUGGUCUGAGAGGACGACCAGCCACACUGGGACUGAGACACGGCCCAGACUCCUACGGGAGGCAGCAGUGGGGAAUAUUGGACAAUGGGGGAAACCCUGAUCCAGCGACGCCGCGUGUGUGAAGAAGGCCUGCGGGUUGUAAAGCACUUUUAGUGGGGAUGAAAAGCUCAGGGAUAACACCCCUGGGGUCUUGACCUAACCCACAGAAAAAGCACCGGCUAACUCUGUG